This 1081-nucleotide ribosomal RNA is filed under the name Mycolicibacterium mucogenicum. RNAcentral describes it as "partial 16S ribosomal RNA". It matches the Rfam family "Bacterial small subunit ribosomal RNA", at positions 62 to 1164 of the family's 1533-position model. Lineage: Bacteria; Bacillati; Actinomycetota; Actinomycetes; Mycobacteriales; Mycobacteriaceae. The record is from RNAcentral.
UCGACGGAAGGCCCUUCGGGGUACUCGAGUGGCGAACGGGUGAGUAACACGUGGGUGAUCUGCCCUGCACUUUGGGAUAAGCCUGGGAAACUGGGUCUAAUACCGAAUAGGACCACGCGCUUCAUGGUGUGUGGUGGAAAGCUUUUGCGGUGUGGGAUGGGCCCGCGGCCUAUCAGCUUGUUGGUGGGGUAAUGGCCUACCAAGGCGACGACGGGUAGCCGGCCUGAGAGGGUGACCGGCCACACUGGGACUGAGAUACGGCCCAGACUCCUACGGGAGGCAGCAGUGGGGAAUAUUGCACAAUGGGCGCAAGCCUGAUGCAGCGACGCCGCGUGAGGGAUGACGGCCUUCGGGUUGUAAACCUCUUUCAAUAGGGACGAAGCGCAAGUGACGGUACCUAUAGAAGAAGCACCGGCCAACUACGUGCCAGCAGCCGCGGUAAUACGUAGGGUGCGAGCGUUGUCCGGAAUUACUGGGCGUAAAGAGCUCGUAGGUGGUUUGUCGCGUUGUUCGUGAAAACUCACAGCUUAACUGUGGGCGUGCGGGCGAUACGGGCAGACUAGAGUACUGCAGGGGAGACUGGAAUUCCUGGUGUAGCGGUGGAAUGCGCAGAUAUCAGGAGGAACACCGGUGGCGAAGGCGGGUCUCUGGGCAGUAACUGACGCUGAGGAGCGAAAGCGUGNGGAGCGAACAGGAUUAGAUACCCUGGUAGUCCACGCCGUAAACGGUGGGUACUAGGUGUGGGUUCCUUCCUUGGGAUCCGUGCCGUANCUAACGCAUUAAGUACCCCGCCUGGGGAGUACGGCCGCAAGGCUAAAACUCAAAGGAAUUGACGGGGGCCCGCACAAGCGGCGGANCAUGUGGAUUAAUUCGAUGCAACGCGAAGAACCUUACCUGGGUUUGACNUGCACAGGACGCCGGCAGANAUGUCGGUUCCCUUGUGGCCUGUGUGCNNNNGUGCAUGGNUGUCGUCAGCUCGUGUCGUGANAUGUUGGGUUAAGUCCCGCAACGANCGCAACCCUUGUCCUAUGNNGCCAGCGGGUNAUGCCGGGGNNUCNUAGNANACUGNNGGGGNCAACUC